GAGACAAGCAUAUGACUACUGGCAGGAUCAACCAGGUAGCGUUCCUUCGCGACGCCGAYGCCCGCACGACGCCCGACGGGCCGUGAGGCCGCGGGCUCGAGACGGGCACGGCAGUCGUUCGCGUCGAGGGACAAAAUGCGUUGCUCGGGCGAACGGAGCCUGUKGURACAGACCCYACGCCCGYGCYUAACGUUCCGCAUCCGAGAGAACGGGCAUAGCACACCGUGGGCCGAGGCAGCCAAGCGACUGGGCGAGGCCUGCCGGGAACACGGGGCGUGCCUAUCGUCCACCCCACAACCCGCGAGGGYUGGGGGCGGAGAGGGACDAACGGGACCGUCGGAUUCCUCUCGAUAGGUAAGCAACACAGGAUACCGAA
This 376-nucleotide unclassified non-coding RNA is filed under the name Commiphora pyracanthoides. Its description in RNAcentral is "partial external transcribed spacer". Lineage: Eukaryota; Viridiplantae; Streptophyta; Magnoliopsida; Sapindales; Burseraceae. The record is from RNAcentral.